This 513-nucleotide ribosomal RNA is filed under the name uncultured bacterium. RNAcentral's name for it is "bacterial SSU rRNA". It matches the Rfam family "Bacterial small subunit ribosomal RNA", at positions 15 to 518 of the family's 1533-position model. The record is from RNAcentral.
GAUCAUGGCUCAGAACGAACGCUGGCGGCGCGUUUAAGCAUGCAAGUCGAGCGGCAAGGGCCUUCGGGCCCCUAGAGCGGCGGACGGGUGAGUAACACGUGGACAAUCUGCCCCCCGGCCCGGGAUAGCCCAGGGAAACCUGGAUUAAUACCGGAUGAGACGGGACCCGCGAUGGCGGGACCCGGGAAAGGCGCUGCGGCGCCGCCGGGGGAUGAGUCUGCGUCCCAUUAGCUAGACGGCGGGGUAACGGCCCACCGUGGCGACGAUGGGUAGCCGGCCUGAGAGGGUGGACGGCCACAUUGGAACUGAGACACGGUCCAGACUCCUACGGGAGGCAGCAGCUAAGAAUCUUCCGCAAUGGGCGAAAGCCUGACGGAGCGACGCCCGCGUGAACGAAGAAGGCCGUGAGGUUGUAAAGUUCUUUUCGGGAGGGGGAACAACCGUGGCAGGGAAUGGCCGCGGGAUGACGUGAAUCCCGGAAUAAGCCCCGGCUAACUACGUGCCAGCCGCUGC